GGUUAAGCGACUAAGCGUACACGGUGGAUGCCCUGGCAGUCAGAGGCGAUGAAGGACGUGCUAAUCUGCGAAAAGCGUCGGUAAGGUGAUAUGAACCGUUAUAACCGGCGAUGUCCGAAUGGGGAAACCCAGUGCAAUUCGUUGCACUAUCGUUAACUGAAUACAUAGGUUAACGAGGCGAACCGGGGGAACUGAAACAUCUAAGUACCCCGAGGAAAAGAAAUCAACCGAGAUUCCCCCAGUAGCGGCGAGCGAACGGGGAGCAGCCCAGAGUCUGAAUCAGCUUGUGUGUUAGUGGAACGGUCUGGAAAGUCCGACGGUACAGGGUGAUAGUCCCGUACACCAAAAUGCACAGGCUGUGAACUCGAAGAGUAGGGCGGGACACGUGGUAUCCUGUCUGAAUAUGGGGGGACCAUCCUCCAAGGCUAAAUACUCCUGACUGACCGAUAGUGAACCAGUACCGUGAGGGAAAGGCGAAAAGAACCCCGGCGAGGGGAGUGAAAAAGAACCUGAAACCGUGUACGUACAAGCAGUGGGAGCACCUUCGGGUGUGACUGCGUACCUUUUGUAUAAUGGGUCAGCGACUUAUAUUCUGUAGCAAGGUUAACCGUAUAGGGGAGCCGCAGGGAAACCGAGUCUUAACUGGGCGUUAAGUUGCAGGGUAUAGACCCGAAACCCGGUGAUCUAGCCAUGGGCAGGUUGAAGGUUGGGUAACACUAACUGGAGGACCGAACCGACUAAUGUUGAAAAAUUAGCGGAUGACUUGUGGCUGGGGGUGAAAGGCCAAUCAAACCGGGAGAUAGCUGGUUCUCCCCGAAAGCUAUUUAGGUAGCGCCUCGUGAACUCAUCUUCGGGGGUAGAGCACUGUUUCGGCUAGGGGGUCAUCCCGACUUACCAACCCGAUGCAAACUACGAAUACCGAAGAAUGUUAUCACGGGAGACACACGGCGGGUGCUAACGUCCGUCGUGAAGAGGGAAACAACCCAGACCGCCAGCUAAGGUCCCAAAGUCAUGGUUAAGUGGGAAACGAUGUGGGAAGGCACAGACAGCCAGGAUGUUGGCUUAGAAGCAGCCAUCAUUUAAAGAAAGCGUAAUAGCUCACUGGUCGAGUCGGCCUGCGCGGAAGAUGUAACGGGGCUAAACCAUGCACCGAAGCUGCGGCAGCGACACUAUGUGUUGUUGGGUAGGGGAGCGUUCUGUAAGCCUGCGAAGGUGACCUGUGAGGGUUGCUGGAGGUAUCAGAAGUGCGAAUGCUGACAUAAGUAACGAUAAAGCGGGUGAAAAGCCCGCUCGCCGGAAGACCAAGGGUUCCUGUCCAACGUUAAUCGGGGCAGGGUGAGUCGACCCCUAAGGCGAGGCCGAAAGGCGUAGUCGAUGGGAAACAGGUUAAUAUUCCUGUACUUGGUGUUACUGCGAAGGGGGGACGGAGAAGGCUAUGUUAGCCGGGCGACGGUUGUCCCGGUUUAAGCAUGUAGGCUGAUUGUCCAGGCAAAUCCGGAUAAUCAAGGCUGAGGUGUGAUGACGAGGCACUACGGUGCUGAAGUAACAAAUGCCCUGCUUCCAGGAAAAGCCUCUAAGCAUCAGGUAACAUUAAAUCGUACCCCAAACCGACACAGGUGGUCAGGUAGAGAAUACCAAGGCGCUUGAGAGAACUCGGGUGAAGGAACUAGGCAAAAUGGUGCCGUAACUUCGGGAGAAGGCACGCUGGUGUGUAGGUGAAGUCCCUGCGGAUGGAGCUGAGACCAGUCGAAGAUACCAGCUGGCUGCAACUGUUUAUUAAAAACACAGCACUGUGCAAACACGAAAGUGGACGUAUACGGUGUGACGCCUGCCCGGUGCCGGAAGGUUAAUUGAUGGGGUUAUCCGUAAGGAGAAGCUCUUGAUCGAAGCCCCGGUAAACGGCGGCCGUAACUAUAACGGUCCUAAGGUAGCGAAAUUCCUUGUCGGGUAAGUUCCGACCUGCACGAAUGGCGUAAUGAUGGCCAGGCUGUCUCCACCCGAGACUCAGUGAAAUUGAACUCGCUGUGAAGAUGCAGUGUACCCGCGGCAAGACGGAAAGACCCCGUGAACCUUUACUAUAGCUUGACACUGAACAUUGAGCCUUGAUGUGUAGGAUAGGUGGGAGGCUUUGAAGCGUGGACGCCAGUCUGCGUGGAGCCAACCUUGAAAUACCACCCUUUAAUGUUUGAUGUUCUAACGUUGGCCCCUUAUCGGGGUUGCGGACAGUGUCUGGUGGGUAGUUUGACUGGGGCGGUCUCCUCCCAAAGCGUAACGGAGGAGCACGAAGGUUAGCUAAUCCUGGUCGGACAUCAGGAGGUUAGUGCAAUGGCAUAAGCUAGCUUGACUGCGAGCGUGACGGCGCGAGCAGGUGCGAAAGCAGGUCAUAGUGAUCCGGUGGUUCUGAAUGGAAGGGCCAUCGCUCAACGGAUAAAAGGUACUCCGGGGAUAACAGGCUGAUACCGCCCAAGAGUUCAUAUCGACGGCGGUGUUUGGCACCUCGAUGUCGGCUCAUCACAUCCUGGGGCUGAAGUAGGUCCCAAGGGUAUGGCUGUUCGCCAUUUAAAGUGGUACGCGAGCUGGGUUUAGAACGUCGUGAGACAGUUCGGUCCCUAUCUGCCGUGGGCGCUGGAGAAUUGAGGGGGGCUGCUCCUAGUACGAGAGGACCGGAGUGGACGCAUCACUGGUGUUCGGGUUGUCAUGCCAAUGGCACUGCCCGGUAGCUAAAUGCGGAAGAGAUAAGUGCUGAAAGCAUCUAAGCACGAAACUUGCCCCGAGAUGAGUUCUCCCUGAGACUUUAAGUCUCCUGAAGGAACGUUAAAGACGAUGACGUUGAUAGGCCGGGUGUGUAAGCGCAGCGAUGCGUUGAGCUAACCGGUACUAAUGAACCGUGAGGCUUAACCUU
This 2902-nucleotide ribosomal RNA is filed under the name Klebsiella pneumoniae. RNAcentral describes it as "23S ribosomal RNA". It matches the Rfam family "Bacterial large subunit ribosomal RNA". The record is from RNAcentral. Lineage: Bacteria; Pseudomonadati; Pseudomonadota; Gammaproteobacteria; Enterobacterales; Enterobacteriaceae.